This 72-nucleotide transfer RNA is filed under the name Phrynosoma platyrhinos (Desert horned lizard). RNAcentral describes it as "tRNA-OTHER". The record is from RNAcentral. Lineage: Eukaryota; Metazoa; Chordata; Lepidosauria; Squamata; Phrynosomatidae.
GCCCUUGUGGUGUAGUGGUUUGAGUGUUGGACUACAACUCUGGAGACCAGGGUUCAAACCCUUGCUUGGCCA